CAAAACCGGCGCACGGGUGCGUAACGCGUAUACAAUCUGCCUUUCACAUAGGGAUAGCCCGAAGAAAUUUGGAUUAAUACCUAAUGGUAUAUAAGAGCGGCAUCGUUUUUAUAUUAAAGCUACGGUGGUGAAAGAUGAGUAUGCGUUCUAUUAGCUAGUUGGAGAGGUAACGGCUCCCCAAGGCGACGAUAGGUAGGGGUCCUGAGAGGGAGAUCCCCCACACUGGUACUGAGACAGGGACCAG
This 244-nucleotide ribosomal RNA is filed under the name uncultured Flavobacteriales bacterium. RNAcentral describes it as "partial 16S ribosomal RNA". It matches the Rfam family "Bacterial small subunit ribosomal RNA", at positions 90 to 334 of the family's 1533-position model. The record is from RNAcentral. Lineage: Bacteria; Pseudomonadati; Bacteroidota; Flavobacteriia; Flavobacteriales.